GACGAACGCUGGCGGCGUGCUUAACACAUGCAAGUCGAACGAAGUGGCGAACGGGUGAGUAAUACGUGGGUAACCUGCCCUCAUUUUUGGGAUAAGCCUUGGAAACGGGUUCUAAUACCGGCUUAAGGGGGCGGGGCUAGCGGCCUAUCAGCUUGUUGGUGGGGUGAUGGCCCACAAAGGCGGUGACGGGUAGCCGGCCUGAGAGGGUGACCGGCCACAUUGGGACUGAGAUACGGCCCAGACUCCUACGGGAGGCAGCAGUGGGGAAUAUUGCACAAUGGGCGCAAGCCUGAUGCAGCCAUGCCGCGUGUAUGAAGAAGGCCUUAGGGUUGUAAAGUACUUUCAGCGGGGAGGCGUUACCCGCAGAAGAAGCACCGGCUAACUCCGUGCCAGCCGCCGCGGUAAUAC
Molecule: ribosomal RNA, 408 nt
Filed under: uncultured bacterium
Lineage: Bacteria
Description: partial 16S ribosomal RNA
Rfam family: Bacterial small subunit ribosomal RNA
Source: RNAcentral